This 74-nucleotide transfer RNA is filed under the name Clostridium sp. RNAcentral's name for it is "tRNA-Gly". It matches the Rfam family "tRNA". From Rfam's summary of the family: Transfer RNA (tRNA) molecules are approximately 80 nucleotides in length. Their secondary structure includes four short double-helical elements and three loops (D, anti-codon, and T loops). RNAcentral also lists the same sequence under 3 other names. Lineage: Bacteria; Bacillati; Bacillota; Clostridia; Eubacteriales; Clostridiaceae. The record is from RNAcentral.
GCAGAUGUAGUUUAGUGGUAGAACUUUGCCUUCCCAAGGCAAUAGUGUGGGUUCGAUUCCCAUCAUCUGCUCCA